GAUGAACGCUAGCGGCAGGCCUAAUACAUGCAAGUCGAACGGCAAGAUUUGGUAGCAAUACUAAAUCCUAGAGUGGCGCACGGGUGAGUAACGCGUACAUGACAUACCUAUAAGCGAGGGAUAGCAUUGGGAAACUGGUAGUAACCCCUCAUGUGAUUAUUUGUAAUAAAGGUAAAUAAUUAAAACUACGGUGCUUAUAGAUUGGUGUGCGUCUGAUUAGCUAGUUGGCGAGGUAACGGCUCACCAAGGCGACGAUCAGUAGGGGGCGUGAGAGCGUGAACCCCCACACGGGUACUGAGACACGGACCCGACUCCUACGGGAGGCAGCAGUAAGGAAUAUUGGUCAAUGGAGGGAACUCUGAACCAGCCAUGCCGCGUGCAGGAUGAAAGCCCUCUGGGUUGUAAACUGCUUUUAACAGGGAAGAAAAUGCUAUACGUGAUAUAGUACUGACGGUACCUGAGGAAUAAGCACCGGCUAACUCCGUGCCAGCAGCCGCGGUAAACUCG
This 507-nucleotide ribosomal RNA is filed under the name uncultured bacterium. Its description in RNAcentral is "bacterial SSU rRNA". It matches the Rfam family "Bacterial small subunit ribosomal RNA", at positions 28 to 527 of the family's 1533-position model. The record is from RNAcentral.